GUCUACGGCCAUGCCACCCUGAACAAGCCUGAUCUCAUCUGAUCUCGGAAGCUAAGCAGGGUUGGGCCUGGUUAAUACUUGGAUGAAAAACCACCUAGGAAGACCAGGUGCUGUAGGCA
RNAcentral lists this ribosomal RNA (119 nucleotides) under Pteropus alecto (black flying fox). The record is from RNAcentral. Lineage: Eukaryota; Metazoa; Chordata; Mammalia; Chiroptera; Pteropodidae.